Molecule: long non-coding RNA, 817 nt
Organism: Mandrillus leucophaeus (drill)
Lineage: Eukaryota; Metazoa; Chordata; Mammalia; Primates; Cercopithecidae
Exons: 2
Source: RefSeq, a predicted model, not a curated record
AACAAGGAGUGCUGUUUCGAAGUAGCGGCUAGAGGGGCCCCCUGCCUCCGCCCCCGCCCUUCCGAGGAUUCCUGGAGUCCACUCACCCCUCCCCAACACUCCAGUAGCAGGCGGGAGCAGCAGCAUCAGGCCGGGGUGUGGCUGCACCUCCGCGAAGGCGGCAGUUCCCCGUGCAGCUGCGGCGUUCAGGUGGGGGAGGGGAGGCUCACACCCUGCGGCGGCUUAAGCCUGGAUGUACGCAUUCGAGGAGGGAAUUAGCCCGGAGAUGUCAGCCCUGUGCCCCUGGCUCUGUCCACCCGGACGCCUGCGGAGCGCCAGGCGCCGCAGCGGACCGCGCGCGCACUGAUUGCCGCAACUCCUCUUCCUGCCGUCGCCGCCUGGGACCGGGUGACAUUGAGGUUUUCGUCUAUCGCCGCUGGGCCGAUAGGGCUUCUUUUUAAGAUUUGACUUUCCAAGUAAGAUUUUUGUUUGCCUGCUUUUCUUCUGAAUUUUUUUUUUUUUUUUUUUUUGGUCGAAGAAGCAGCUCCCACUUUGCAGUUGUGUCAGCCAAUCACAACAGCUUCCCAGACUUCCAUGCAAGCUUCUGCUUUGAGUCCAAGGUGGCCAUAAAUGGCAGCUCCUCAAGCUCCUCCAUAGUCUCUGGUUUCUUACGUUUCUCCAUGAGCUCAGCUUUUUGAUUGACUCCAAUGCUUCAAGCCAAAGUCAUUAGUGAAUGUUCUACAAUCUUUCAAUGGCAACUCCAGACCUUCACUCCUCCAGCUUCUCCUACAUCCAUCUAACCCUCAAUUCCUGCAUUAAAUGUCUUUGUUCCAGAAUA